This 450-nucleotide ribosomal RNA is filed under the name uncultured bacterium. RNAcentral's name for it is "partial 16S ribosomal RNA". It matches the Rfam family "Bacterial small subunit ribosomal RNA", at positions 354 to 796 of the family's 1533-position model. The record is from RNAcentral.
GUGGGGAAUUUUGGACAAUGGGCGCAAGCCUGAUCCAGCAAUGCCGCGUGCAGGAUGAAGGCCUUCGGGUUGUAAACUGCUUUUGUACGGAACGAAAAGCCCUGGGUUAAUACCCUGGGGUCAUGACGGUACCGUAAGAAUAAGCACCGGCUAACUACGUGCCAGCAGCCGCGGUAAUACGUAGGGUGCAAGCGUUAAUCGGAAUUACUGGGCGUAAAGCGUGCGCAGGCGGUUUUGUAAGACAGUGGUGAAAUCCCCGGGCUCAACCUGGGAACUGCCAUUGUGACUGCAAGGCUAGAGUGCGGCAGAGGGGGAUGGAAUUCCGCGUGUAGCAGUGAAAUGCGUAGAUAUGCGGAGGAACACCGAUGGCGAAGGCAAUCCCCUGGGCCUGCACUGACGCUCAUGCACGAAAGCGUGGGGAGCAAACAGGAUUAGAUACCCUGGUAGUCC